CCCUCUUUUCGCCUUUCCCUCUGUCGACCUCUCUUUCUCGUUUCGCUUUUCUCUCGUUCUUUUUCAUCUUCUAUUUGAAAACCACCGUUUCUCCCCGCUCGUUUUGCUUGGACGUUUGUGUGAUCUCCCACCCGGCAAAUUUGCAGCUGCUACGCAGAGUCGGUGUCCCGUCGUUCUUUCACCGUGCGUGUGUCUUCAAUUUUUUCUUUUUUCCUUUUUUCUUCAUAUUACACGUAGUUGCUAAACUGUUUUCCCUUUCUUCUGUUUCCUGCUUCCGCUGGGAUCAUUUUUACGUUCGCCUUUUUAUACGUAUAUGAUGGACCGCCACUGAACGUUGGUGGCAUGACAGAAGAAUUAGCGAUGUUCGCCCUCUUCGUUUUGGAGUAUCAUGGAUGUAUCGAAUAACUUACCGGUUGUUGUAUGCACCGAUAUGCUUGUUACGAUACUUACUGAACUCGUGUCUUUUAUUUUUAACCGGAGAGGAUAUCUUUCUUCGCUUUCUAUGUCCAGCGUUUUGUAAUAUAUUUUUCUUGGUUCGUGUACGUAGUAUUGACAGGCGAUCAUAUAAUUGUUGGACAGAAUUACUCGUGCCGGUAAUCGUUGUCAAUUAUUUUAUAGACAAAAACUAUAUGACACGACGGGUCGGUCAUGCGCAAGUAUUCACCUGACCCUGCCGAUAUGCGCCUUUAUUGGAGCAGCAGUGUGUCAGGCUGCGCACGACGCUUCUAGUCGCCAUAUUUUACGGUUCAACUGCGAAUACAAUUGUUCAUGAUACAAUUUGAAUAAACUCGAUCGAAGCUAAAAGAGGUGAAUCACGAAGAAUCGUGACCGAGUAAAGUUUACAUUUACUGUUGCAUAGGAACGCAACGUAUACGACUCUCGGUGCAUUACGAAACAAUUACGAUCAAUCUCUUUGUUUUGUUUGUUCAAAUCGCCAGGCGAGUAUCUGUAGAUCAUGGAGUAUAACGUUACAUCGUGCCGGCGUCGAUUACGCUGCGUUUGCCAAACAGGCUGGCAUGGUCGAUAACGGCACGGUUGGAAACGCGACGUGGCCGCGGUGUGUCCGCGGUUCAUUCCCGCUGAACACGGUGUCUACGAUCACGUAGCAACGCGCCGCGUUCGACGUAUUUGCGAACCUCCUGCGUCUGGCAACGUUAAAACUGUUGCGAAUUCCGCGCACCGAUCACGAGACAACGCAACGCGGUCUCUUGUUGUUCCUUGCGUCUACAGAAUACGAUGGGCUCGUGAUUUCGAAUCACGAUUAAAUGAAAGAUUUUGAGAACCACCUGUACAUACAGAGGGAAAGUGCACAAUUUCAAAGUUUAAUUUGCAUUAUUUCACCGAUCGUUCUAUUUAUAGCGAAAGCGAGCCACGCGUUUGUUCGCGCGCGGUUAUCGGAAUACCUCCUACAACCGGUUUCAACCGAUCACCGGUUUCUCGGCGACGUUAUUAUAAAUCCGGCGCGGUCGACGCGCGCCUGUAUCACCGCAUUGAAAAUGCGGCGACGACCUGCCGUCCAACAAGGACGUGUCGCGCCACACAUACAUAGGCGAAGAGGAAAAGGAGGCGAUCCGCCGCGUGCCCGCGCGCCGGUUCCGUCGUCUUUCAGCUCUCUUGCCGUUGUAGAUUUGGCAACACUGCGGCAUAGCAGCGGCAUAGAUUCCGCUCCGCAACCGCAACCGCACGCCAGCCUACCGCCAUGAUGCCAAACCAAGCUGGCCGUACAACGGUUUCUCCGCAGUGACGCGCAAGCCGCCGGGGACGGCGUAGCAAGUACGAUCGAAUCGCUUGCGAGGAAAACGUUCCGUCCACGAUCAUUUUUUUAAUUCUUCUUUCACCGUCCUCCGUAUUUUCAACGUUAUAUCUCGACCGAUGUUUUUGCGUUUCACGGAUUUCGUUAUUCGUUGACCGGGAACAUUGCUUGGCUCUCCUUGCGUUUCUCUGCACGCUCGGAUUAAUCUGAAUCGAUACCCGCCUAUCUUGGUCGACAGUUGGAAAACAAUCGGACUCUUUGACCGAGCCACCAUCAUCCCCUAGCUAUUCGGAUUUAAAUCACUCCGAUUGUCUCUUCUUCGUCACGCGUACAUCGUAUUUGUUGAAAGACUGAAGAAGAAGAAUUAAAAGGGGUAAAAGGGUAUUGAGGGUUGUUUUAAUUUUCGAACGGUGCAACAUGUUCGAUACGGAAAAGUUUAUCGAAGAAAUCGAGAAACGACCGGCGAUUUACGAUGUGAAUCGUAGCGAGUACAACGACCGUAACGCCAAGAUGACCGCGUGGGACGAGGUCUGCCAGGUGAUGGUACCGAAUUGGGCGCGCUUGACGGACGAGGAGAGAAACGUAGAAGAGAAAAAUUUACGGGGUAAAUGGAGAAAUAUUCGAGAUUAUUUCAUGAAAGAGCUGAAACUUCAGAAGUCGCAGAAAUUAGGACCAGCUGGUCGAAAACGAAAGAAAUACAUGUAUUUCGAUCAGCUGUUGUUUCUGAUGCCCACUGUGGAGAAUAAACGAAACGUAGGAGCAACGUUAAAUAAUUGCAAAUCCGAAGAAAGCGAGGGUGAAGUUGACAAUCCUGUGAUCGAAGAAUACGACGUACCAUUGGCACACGCCGCUCCCUCCAUAACGACGGGCAGGGAGUACCUUCAACCGGGUGCCUCCUAUAAAAUGUACCCCCGUUAUCCAAAGCAGCUUUGCGAGACGUCGUUCACGUCGUUCGAUAAUGAAAUUCACGAUAUCUUGUCGUCGCAUAGCAGCCAACGAGUUACGUACGACGAGGACGACUACGACAAAAUGUUUCUGCUCUCCUUGUUGCCGAUCAUUCGGCAAGUACCGGAAGAGAAGAAAUUGGACGUCAGGAUACAGAUGCAACAAGUCCUGGCCCUGGCGCUACGUCCACCGGACAACAAGCAAUGAUCAUUUUAUACUUCUCUGGACUCGAGUUUAAGCGUUAAUUCGUAAACGAAAGACGUUAUCACGAAAAAAAGAUACGACGUGUGUCGAAAUGAGACGUGUUUCACAUAUUUUUGUUUUCUCUUUGGUGUACAGAAGUCAACCGCACUUCGGCCGAGUUAAUCUUCAGGAUUGCUAAUAAUACCGUGGACUGCGGAUUUGUUUACGUCGUAAACGCGAUAAUGUUUCAGAACUUUUCAGAGGUAGCCUUCCACGGUGAUUUAACGACUUGACAGGUUGAUGGCCACGGUAGUCAUUAAAACUAUGAACCAAGAAAUCAUGAUGCAAAGUUGCAAUAGUGAUUAGAAAAUUUAUGCCUUUUAAUCGAGGCAUUAUUGUGUCCUGCUCCGCCAUUCGAGGAUUAAUAUCCUUAGCAUUUCUUAUGAUGGUACGUCGUACCCAGCAUGGCUGCUUCUACUAUGGCAAUCAACGUGUUCAACAAUUGCAACUUUGAGUACCUAUACCUGUGAUAUUGAGCGAGGAUACUACUUUCAAUGAAUGCAGAUACAGAAAUAGGAUUUUUAACAAGUUGAUGUUACUGUGUUAAUAGGAAGCGUGAUAUAGUCGUGUUUUACGUGUAUAUGUAUUUUCAUAACUUGGAAUAUAAAUGGUAAUAUUUUAUUGAUACGUGUCCAACAGAAGCAAGCAUGAAAUUGCUGUGAAUAAUUAUAUAAAAAUUAUAUUAUCAGUAAUGUUACUUUUGGUCGAUACAAGAUUCGUUUGCGUUUAGGGAUGUGUAGGCAGGUGGCAGCACUGGUACCUUACUUUUGAAGUUUCCGCUUUCUGUAUGAUACAAGUUCAGUAUAAAUAGAGGAAAAAGAAACGAAAGAAAAUUGUAUGUGGAAGAAUUGUUCAUGACGUGGCUGAUGGAUCCCUAUGGAAAUACAAGAAUCCCUACACAAAUAACAUAGUAAAAAGAAAGAAAGAUGCAUCAACCCCCGUUGGUAAGGAUAAUCGGCAACCGGUCUGGAACAUCAGGCGCGUAAACAUACAAGGGUUACCAGCAACUAGUGGCGUUUGUUGAAACUCUACCCUCGGUGAACCCUCUUUUCCCUCCAAUUCACUCCCACCCUCAAUAGACACCAUCCACCUCAUCCCCCUCUCUCUCUCGAUCUCUACGUAUCAACCCCUCUCUCUUAGCCGUUUCUCUUACCCUCGCUCGUUCACCAGGUUCCCCUCUUCUCCUGUUCUGUCUCUUUCCCUCGUCGGCACGCGCGGCUUUCACUCGCGCGCGCGUUCUUCUGCCUGUGGAGCAACUCGCAGCAUCCAUCGGCCCGCUCCGGACUUCAGUCCAUGUCGAGAUCGCGGCACCGCCGGGACCCUAAGGACCCUUCGACACUAACGAUUCCUUACACCUUUUAACUUGUAAACUGACGGUAUCGAGACAAAGCUUGUUCGACGAAAAAUCGAGUAACAGGCAUUCUCGAUUCCAACGAUUUGUUUUUAAUUUAAAAAAAAAAGACAAAAGACAAGAUCAUCCUGUACCAUUGAACCAGUACCUGCAUUCUCGAGUCUCGUUUCCCGGAUUUUUCAUUUUGUCUUUGUUACAAAGUAAAUACGACGAUUAAUCCAUAGAUAUUUCUAAACCCAGAGAAGCAUUCGCAGCGUUGAUAAAACGGGAUUCUUAGAUCAGAGAAAUUCAUUUGUUAUUCCGGCCGUGUCCACGGGCCGAAGGAUAAACAAUCGAUUGUCCCAUGAUAACGGAUGCCCUAAGGGAUCACUGGAAUAAAAUUAGGUAAUCGCAUUUGAUGCGGAUAGAAGGAGAAGACGCGUAGCGUGAUCGUUGAGGGAACGACAUCAGAAAGGGAGGAAGAGCCACGAGGGCCCGCGAGGAGACUGAAGAAGAGCGAUUUCCC
Molecule: RNA transcript, 4797 nt
Organism: Osmia bicornis bicornis
Lineage: Eukaryota; Metazoa; Arthropoda; Insecta; Hymenoptera; Megachilidae
Exons: 6
Source: RefSeq, a predicted model, not a curated record